UACGAAGGGGGCUAGCGUUGUUCGGAAUUACUGGGCGUAAAGGGCGCGUAGGCGGUGCGUCAAGUCAGGCGUGAAAGCCCCGGGCUCAACCUGGGAACAGCGCUUGAGACUGGCACGCUCGAGUUCGGGAGAGGAUGGUGGAAUUCCCAGUGUAGAGGUGAAAUUCGUAGAUAUUAGGAAGAACACCAGUGGCGAAGGCGGCUCACUGGCCCGGUACUGACGCUGAGGCGCGAAAGCGUGGGGAGCAAACGGG
Molecule: ribosomal RNA, 253 nt
Filed under: uncultured bacterium
Lineage: Bacteria
Description: partial 16S ribosomal RNA
Rfam family: Bacterial small subunit ribosomal RNA
Source: RNAcentral